RNAcentral lists this ribosomal RNA (464 nucleotides) under Vreelandella stevensii. RNAcentral's name for it is "partial 16S ribosomal RNA". It matches the Rfam family "Bacterial small subunit ribosomal RNA", at positions 338 to 794 of the family's 1533-position model. Lineage: Bacteria; Pseudomonadati; Pseudomonadota; Gammaproteobacteria; Oceanospirillales; Halomonadaceae. The record is from RNAcentral.
CCUACGGGGGGCAGCAGUGGGGAAUAUUGGACAAUGGGCGAAAGCCUGAUCCAGCCAUGCCGCGUGUGUGAAGAAGGCCUUCGGGUUGUAAAGCACUUUCAGUGGGGAAGAAAGCCUUGGGGCUAAUACCCUCGAGGAAGGACAUCACCCACAGAAGAAGCACCGGCUAACUCCGUGCCAGCAGCCGCGGUAAUACGGAGGGUGCGAGCGUUAAUCGGAAUUACUGGGUGUAAAGCGCGCGUAGGCGGUCUGAUAAGCCGGUUGUGAAAGCCCCGGGCUCAACCUGGGAACGGCAUCCGGAACUGUCAGGCUAGAGUGCAGGAGAGGAAGGUAGAAUUCCCGGUGUAGCGGUGAAAUGCGUAGAGAUCGGGAGGAAUACCAGUGGCGAAGGCGGCCUUCUGGACUGACACUGACGCUGAGGUGCGAAAGCGUGGGUAGCAAACAGGAUUAGAUACCCCGGUAGU